Molecule: ribosomal RNA, 810 nt
Filed under: Streptomyces sp.
Lineage: Bacteria; Bacillati; Actinomycetota; Actinomycetes; Kitasatosporales; Streptomycetaceae
Description: bacterial SSU rRNA
Rfam family: Bacterial small subunit ribosomal RNA
Source: RNAcentral
CGAUGAACCACUUUCGGUGGGGAUUAGUGGCGAACGGGUGAGUAACACGUGGGCAAUCUGCCCUGCACUCUGGGACAAGCCCUGGAAACGGGGUCUAAUACCGGAUAUGACCAUCUUGGGCAUCCUUGAUGGUGUAAAGCUCCGGCGGUGCAGGAUGAGCCCGCGGCCUAUCAGCUUGUUGGUGAGGUAACGGCUCACCAAGGCGACGACGGGUAGCCGGCCUGAGAGGGCGACCGGCCACACUGGGACUGAGACACGGCCCAGACUCCUACGGGAGGCAGCAGUGGGGAAUAUUGCACAAUGGGCGCAAGCCUGAUGCAGCGACGCCGCGUGAGGGAUGACGGCCUUCGGGUUGUAAACCUCUUUCAGCAGGGAAGAAGCGAAAGUGACGGUACCUGCAGAAGAAGCGCCGGCUAACUACGUGCCAGCAGCCGCGGUAAUACGUAGGGCGCGAGCGUUGUCCGGAAUUAUUGGGCGUAAAGAGCUCGUAGGCGGCUUGUCGCGUCGGUUGUGAAAGCCCGGGGCUUAACCCCGGGUCUGCAGUCGAUACGGGCAGGCUAGAGUUCGGUAGGGGAGAUCGGAAUUCCUGGUGUAGCGGUGAAAUGCGCAGAUAUCAGGAGGAACACCGGUGGCGAAGGCGGAUCUCUGGGCCGAUACUGACGCUGAGGAGCGAAAGCGUGGGGAGCGAACAGGAUUAGAUACCCUGGUAGUCCACGCCGUAAACGGUGGGCACUAGGUGUGGGCAACAUUCCACGUUGUCCGUGCCGCAGCUAACGCAUUAAGUGCCCCGCCUGGGGAGUACGGCCGCAA